UGAUCACUCCUCUUGGACCCCUUCUGUAAGCCCAGGACAUGGCAGAUAACAUUAUACAAAUUGCAUACCUAAGCAUAAGAGCCUGAAAGUCAUCAGGCUAAGAAGGAUUCCUGGAAUUAAAAUACAGGAGCUGGAUAUUCAACAUGAGCAGAAGGACAGACCAAACAUGGUUGGGACACAGAAGAGAAGAUUACUGUACAGGGACUGGAAGUGUGGAAUUCAAAUCUAGAAUGGAAGAAUGGAGCAAAAGGAGAAAGUUGCUAUCAGCAUUCACAGUUGGAGCAGGGACAACCCUAAUACUCUCCUCACAACUCUUUCUCUUACACAUCCUGCCCAAAUGCUGCACUUGGGAGCAAGAUAGCUCAGAGCCACUGGAGUACCUGCUUAAAUUGGUGACAGGAAGCAAGAACAUGCUAUGGACAGAUACCAUGAAGUUUUAUUUUGGGAGACAGGCUGCAUUUCUGACAGUCAGGCCAUCCUUCUGAACCAGGUAGCCUCCAGCUCCAUCCUGUCAGUGAGAAACAUAGCAGCCUGAAAGAUGAAGGUUCAGCAAAAUGAUAAGCCACCAAAACCAGGGCUUUGUAAUGGGAACUGUCAUGUAGCUUGAAUAAUAG
Molecule: long non-coding RNA, 614 nt
Organism: Gallus gallus (chicken)
Lineage: Eukaryota; Metazoa; Chordata; Aves; Galliformes; Phasianidae
Source: Ensembl